RNAcentral lists this ribosomal RNA (374 nucleotides) under uncultured bacterium. Its description in RNAcentral is "partial 16S ribosomal RNA". It matches the Rfam family "Bacterial small subunit ribosomal RNA", at positions 355 to 721 of the family's 1533-position model. The record is from RNAcentral.
UAGGGAAUCUUCCACAAUGGACGCAAGUCUGAUGGAGCAACGCCGCGUGAGUGAAGAAGGUUUUCGGAUCGUAAAGCUCUGUUGUUGGCGAAGAAGGAUAGAGGCAGUAACUGGUCUUUAUUUGACGGUAAUCAACCAGAAAGUCACGGCUAACUACGUGCCAGCAGCCGCGGUAAUACGUAGGUGGCAAGCGUUGUCCGGAUUUAUUGGGCGUAAAGCGAGCGCAGGCGGAAUGAUAAGUCUGAUGUGAAAGCCCACGGCUCAACCGUGGAACUGCAUCGGAAACUGUCAUUCUUGAGUGCAGAAGAGGAGAGUGGAACUCCAUGUGUAGCGGUGGAAUGCGUAGAUAUAUGGAAGAACACCAGUGGCGAGCG